GCCUGGGUGGCUCAGUGGUUGAGCAUCUGUCUUCCGCUCAGGUCAUGAUCCCAGGGUCUUGGGAUCGAGUCCCAAAUUGGGCU
This is a non-coding RNA of Canis lupus familiaris (dog), 83 nucleotides long. The record is from Rfam. Lineage: Eukaryota; Metazoa; Chordata; Mammalia; Carnivora; Canidae.